UACGAAGGGGGCUAGCGUUGCUCGGAAUCACUGGGCGUAAAGCGCACGUAGGCGGCUUCUUAAGUCAGGGGUGAAAUCCUGGAGCUCAACUCCAGAACUGCCUUUGAUACUGGGAAGCUUGAGUCCGGGAGAGGUGAGUGGAACUGCGAGUGUAGAGGUGAAAUUCGUAGAUAUUCGCAAGAACACCAGUGGCGAAGGCGGCUCACUGGCCCGGUACUGACGCUGAGGUGCGAAAGCUAGGGGAGCAAACGGG
Molecule: ribosomal RNA, 253 nt
Filed under: uncultured bacterium
Lineage: Bacteria
Description: partial 16S ribosomal RNA
Rfam family: Bacterial small subunit ribosomal RNA
Source: RNAcentral